UGCCCUAGUAACGGCGAGUGAAGCGGCAACAGCUCAAAUUUGAAAUCUGGCUCUCGGGCCCGAGUUGUAAUUUGUAGAGGAUGACUUUGAUGCGGUGCCUUCCGAGUUCCCUGGAACGGGACGCCAUAGAGGGUGAGAGCCCCGUCUGGUUGGAUGCCAAAUCUCUGUAAGUCUCCUUCGACGAGUCGAGUAGUUUGGGAAUGCUGCUCUAAAUGGGAGGUAUAUGUCUUCUAAAGCUAAAUACCGGCCAGAGACCGAUAGCGCACAAGUAGAGUGAUCGAAAGAUGAAAAGCACUUUGAAAAGAGAGUUAAAAAGUACGUGAAAUUGUUGAAAGGGAAGCGUUUAUGACCAGACUUGGGCUUGGUUAAUCAUCUGGGGUUCUCCCCAGUGCACUUUUCCAGUUCAGGCCAGCAUCAGUUUUCGCCGGGGGAUAAAGACUUCGGGAAUGUGGCUCCUCUCGGGGAGUGUUAUAGCCCGUUGUGUAAUACCCUGGUGGGGACUGAGGUUCGCGCUUCUGCAAGGAUGCUGGCGUAAUGGUCAUCAACGACCCGUCUUGAAACACGGACCAAGGAGUCGUCUUCGUAUGCGAGUGUUCGGGUGUCAAACCCCUACGCGUAAUGAAAGUGAACGCAGGUGAGAGCUUCGGCGCAUCAUCGACCGAUCCUGAUGUUCUCGGAUGGAUUUGAGUAAGAGCAUACGGGGCCGGACCCGAAAGAAGGUGAACUAUGCCUGUGUAGGGUGAAGCCAGAGGAAACUCUGGUGGAGGCUCGCAGCGGUUCUGACGUGCAAAUCGAUCGUCAAACAUGGGCAUGGGGGCGAAAGACUAAUCGAACCUUCUAGUAGCUGGUUUCCGCCGAAGUUUCCCUCAGGAUAGCAGUGUUGAACUCAGUUUUAUGAGGUAAAGCGAAUGAUUAGGGACUCGGGGGCGCUAUUUAGCCUUCAUCCAUUCUCAAACUUUAAAUAUGUAAGAAGCUCUUGUUGCUUAAUUGAACGUGAGCAUUCGAAUGUAUCAACACUAGUGGGCCAUUUUGUAGA
This 1036-nucleotide ribosomal RNA is filed under the name Fusarium sporotrichioides. RNAcentral's name for it is "partial large subunit ribosomal RNA". It matches the Rfam family "Eukaryotic large subunit ribosomal RNA", at positions 76 to 1142 of the family's 3401-position model. The record is from RNAcentral. Lineage: Eukaryota; Fungi; Ascomycota; Sordariomycetes; Hypocreales; Nectriaceae.